UCAGCUCGUGUCGUGAGAUGUGGGUUAAGUCCCGCAACGAGCGCAACCCACGUUUAGCCUGCUUAACAGGUGAAGCUGAGCACGUCUAGACGAACUGCCGUUGACAAACGGAGGAAGGUGGGGAUGACGUCAAAUCAUCAUGCCCCUUAUGUUCUGGGCUACACACGUGCUACAAUGGCCGGUACAGACGGACGCAAAGCCGCGAGGUGGAGCAAAUCCUAAAAAGCCGGUCUCAGUUCGGAUUGCAGGCUGCAAUUCGCCUGCAUGAAGUCGGAAUCGCUAGUAAUCGCAGGUCAGCAUACUGCGGUGAAUGCGUUCCCGGGCCUU
This 327-nucleotide ribosomal RNA is filed under the name uncultured Bacillus sp. Its description in RNAcentral is "bacterial SSU rRNA". It matches the Rfam family "Bacterial small subunit ribosomal RNA", at positions 1055 to 1382 of the family's 1533-position model. Lineage: Bacteria; Bacillati; Bacillota; Bacilli; Caryophanales; Bacillaceae. The record is from RNAcentral.